GAUGAACGCUGGCGGCGUGCUUAACACAUGCAAGUCGAACGGAAAGGCUCCUGCUUGCAGGGGUACUCGAGUGGCGAACGGGUGAGUAACACGUGGGUGAUCUGCCCUGCACUUCGGGAUAAGCCUGGGAAACUGGGUCUAAUACCGGAUAGGACGAUGGUUUGGAUGCCAUUGUGGAAAGUUUUUCGGUGUGGGAUGAGCUCGCGGCCUAUCAGCUUGUUGGUGGGGUAAUGGCCUACCAAGGUGUCGACGGGUAGCCGGCCUGAGAGGGUGUACGGCCACAUUGGGACUGAGAUACGGCCCAGACUCCUACGGGAGGCAGCAGUGGGGAAUAUUGCACAAUGGGCGCAAGCCUGAUGCAGCGACGCCGCGUGGGGGAUGACGGCCUUCGGGUUGUAAACUCCUUUCGCUAGGGACGAAGCGCAAGUGACGGUACCUGGAGAAGAAGCACCGGCUAACUACGUG
Molecule: ribosomal RNA, 465 nt
Filed under: uncultured bacterium
Lineage: Bacteria
Description: partial 16S ribosomal RNA
Rfam family: Bacterial small subunit ribosomal RNA
Source: RNAcentral